GAGAGAAAGAAGAGAGAGAAAGAAAAAAGAAAAAAAAAUAGGAAAAAGGAAGAAACCCAAUAAAAGUGUAGGAAAUUGAAGGAAUUUAAGAAUUUUUCCACGGCAAAACUCUACCUAAAUUGUGAGAAAACGAGAGAGGAAGGAAGAAGGAAAGGAAAAAACUAAAGAAAGAAGAGCAAAGGAAAGUAAAAACUCACGAUCAAUCAUGGGAGAACCCGCGAGCUUAAGGCUAGAUAUUUCUCAAAAUAAUUCUAGAACUCUGCCAUAUAUUUGAGAGAAAAAGCUUAAAAAUUAAGUCGAGACUUUGCCGGAGUUAAAGCAGCAUAUCCUACAAGGUAUGUAGUUUCAAGUUUCUUUUCAAGAAAAUCAAUUUACAUAUUAUGACGAUAUUUUUUAUUGUAAAAUAGUGACAAUUCUAAGGAAUCAGAUGCUGCCACAAUUUCACUAGAAAUUUGAGAAAAAUAUAAAGGGAGACUUUGCUCGAGUGAAAAGAGAAAAUUGAAGUAUUUUUAAGGAAAGACUCUGACAGAGUGACUAGAAAAAAUUCAAGAAAAUAUAGGGAGAGACUCUAUCAGAAUAAAAAAAGCUUAAAUUGAUUGCAUCAGACUCGAUGUAAGUGGGUAUUGUGAUUGCAUAGCCUAUGUAGUUUUCAAAAUAUUUUAAAAGUAUUUUUAGUAUAGUAAAUGGAUCUUGUGAUUACAUGGCCUAAGUAGUUUUGAAGUGUUUCAUCAGUGUUUUAUACAUAUUAUAUAUAUAUAAUGCAAAUAUUUUGUAAAAGUGCUAUUAUAUUUUGAGUGUUAUUUUAUCCAUGUAUUUUGAAACGUAAUUUUGAUAAUUAUGCAUCACUCAUUAUCGAGGGGAGCUAUUCCAAAAGCACUUGCGUGAUGCUAGACUUCAAUGUGCCUCUACAUAACCGUUUUGUUUUUGGGUAUAGUGAGAAAUUGAUAAGUGUGAACCCAUAAGUAAUCGUUCUAUUUUUUUGUGUAUGAAAAAGUGUUAAGUGUUAAAUGUACGCCUAAGCAUGCAUGACAGUAGGAAGAUGUGAAUGGCCCUCCAUAACGGUGAUGAAGUAGAGCUCAUUGUACAAUGUAGCGAAGUGCAUCUGUUUUCUGAUUCUGGGAUAUGUGGUUCGUUAUACAAUAUAGCGCACUGUACCUGCUAAGUGAUCUAGUACAUGUGAGAGUGUAGCGCAUUGUACAAUGCAGCAAUGUGUUUUCUAAAUUGUGAUUCUAAUUUUAGUUUUUUACUAUGCAUCUGUUUUUACUAAAAGUGAAUAUGUUUUUGAGAAAGUGUAAAAGAUAUCUUGUUUUGAUGUGUGUGAAAUAUAUAUAUUGCAUGUAUUAGUUGUGUGUAAUAAUAUCUACUUAUUAUGAUAAUAUCUCACUCCCUCAUUAUUUUCAGAUAAUGAGGAUUUUGCUGCAGAAUAGUAUGUGAUACGAAAGAGAAAUUGAGAACUUAGAGAUCAGAUUACCAGUUUGUACUUUUAUAUUGUAAGAAAAGAAAAAAAAAUUAAAUUUUCAUAUUAUAUUGUAGCUGAUGUUCAUUAUUCAAGGGAUGUAGCGCUUGUGCAUACUCUGGCUAUUAAUGAAAGUUAGUUUUUAUUAUUUAAUUAAGGGUAAAGUAUAAGUGUGCUCUAGACAUGCCCUAGAAGAAGAGGGAGUGGGCUGCGACAGGUGGUAUCAGAGCACGGUUCUAGGACACAUCCCUUAAAUACGAAGCUUAGGAUUACACAAAACCUUGUAUUUAUAGUGGAACUUAGAAUGAGUAUAGUAGAACGUAAUGGGAACCCUCUCCUGUCCCUCAAGUAUCCGGGAGUUAAAAAUAGUGAGACCAAUGAGAGAGCCUACAUACGAGGUCCAAAAGAUAGGACUGAAUAAAAUCUUGAAGGACUCAUACGUAUAGUGAAUGACUUAGGUGAGAUAUUUUAGAUACCAUGGAAUUUUUAAGGAUCUAAGGAAUAAUGAAUCUAGGGAUGAGUGUUUUGAGAAGUGAAGAGGAGUUCUAUAUGAUUGAACCAUGAGAUUUAAAAGAGUUUCCCUCACCAAAGAAAUUACCAAGUGAGACAAGUAUAUGCCUUUGUGGUUAGAGAUUGAACAAAGCUUGAUAUGUUGAGAGAUAAAAGCUUAUGAGAAAACAUUUUAUUGAUAGCAUUGAGGUCAAACAUUGUUAUGACUUGAAAGAGUGAAUGUUACAAAUCUUGAGAUCAUGUGAAUAAAACUUUUGUUUUGGAGGAUAUGAGCUAUUUUUGUUGAUCAAAGAAAGACUAACUACUAGGAAAGAAUGUUGUUAUCCCAUUACUAAGUACUAGUUCAAAUUAUGAAAGUGUACAAUACUAAGGAUUACCCUCCCAUUCAAGUAGAGAAUAAGUCGAGAACCUAAGAUGAGGUAUAUUAUCACCCAUUUGAGAAUUAUAAGCAAACCAUAUUCCUAAAAGUAGUUUCUCGAACAAAGUGAAAUGACACCAUUGAACCUUUGGGGUGAGAAUAGAUAAGUAUUACUGGAUAAAACAACCAGUAGUGUGACAACUAUCAAGACUAGUUUCCCAUUUCUAAGUUGAAGCAGAUGAUUUACAUUUAAUUUAGCUUAGGUUUUAAUGUUUACAACUAGAAAAAAAUAAGCUAAUAUGAGGAGCUUGCACAAGUUUGCUUUGAUUUUAGGCUUAAAGUUACAGAUUUUAUUAGACAAAAGAACUGAAAAAUUAAGCCCUUCCAAAUGGACAAUACUACCUAGUCUCAGCUUUACGAGGGGUCAUUCAUUAUUUGUGAUUUCACACUGCCUUUACGCUUCCAAAUGUAUAGGAAUGUGGUCCUCAAUUCACCCUUAAGUUAGUAAGCCUGCAGCAUGGAACAUUUAACACCAAAGGUGGUGAGUACGAAUGGGUCCACAAGCCUGAAAUGGACACUAGCAGAAAGAGAUUUUUCUUAUGACUUGAUAUAGACAGAAACUGGAUAACUUCCAGGAUGACCACUUCGACAGAAGUAAUGAAAGGGGCAGCUGAUCGGAUCCAACGUUUCUUCUACUUGCCAUCUGACACAUUUGCAAAACACCAUGUGAAUAUCUUGCAACCCCCAUUUGAGUUUUAAUGUUGCUUGAUUUUCUGAAUUCAGGAAUUGCUACCCAUUUUUGCUCUUUACUAUUUCUCCUUGUAGAUCCCUUUUAAUCCUUUUUCUUUCUUUUUUUUUUUUGUUUUUUGAAUGAUUUGGAAGAAGUUGUUUGGUUUUGUGUGUCUCUUGAGAUGCUUGUGAAUUUUGGUAAAAUGGAAAA
This is a non-coding RNA of Carica papaya (papaya), 3264 nucleotides long. NCBI's taxonomy places the organism in Eukaryota, Viridiplantae, Streptophyta, Magnoliopsida, Brassicales, Caricaceae. The record is from RefSeq and is a predicted model, not a curated record.